Molecule: ribosomal RNA, 154 nt
Filed under: Tubulicium bambusicola
Lineage: Eukaryota; Fungi; Basidiomycota; Agaricomycetes; Trechisporales; Hydnodontaceae
Description: 5.8S ribosomal RNA
Rfam family: 5.8S ribosomal RNA
About the family: 5.8S ribosomal RNA (5.8S rRNA) is a component of the large subunit of the eukaryotic ribosome. It is transcribed by RNA polymerase I as part of the 45S precursor that also contains 18S and 28S rRNA.
Source: RNAcentral
AACUUUCAACAACGGAUCUCUUGGCUCUCGCAUCGAUGAAGAACGCAGCGAAAUGCGAUAAGUAAUGUGAAUUGCAGAAUUCAGUGAAUCAUCGAAUCUUUGAACGCACCUUGCGCCCUUUGGUAUUCCGAUGGGCAUGCCCGUUCGAGUGUCU